GUAAGGAAUAUUGGACAAUGGCCGCAAGGCUGAUCCAGCCAUGCCGCGUGCAGGAUGAAGGUGCUCUGCAUUGUAAACUGCUUUUGUUUGGGAAUAAACUUCCGCACGUGUGCGGAACUGAAUGUACCAAAAGAAUAAGGGACGGCUAACUUCGUGCCAGCAGCCGCGGUAAUACGAAGGUCCCGAGCGUUAUCCGGAUUUAUUGGGUUUAAAGGGUGCGUAGGCGGGUUAUUAAGUCAGUGGUGAAAGCCUACAGCUUAACUGUAGAAUUGCCAUUGAUACUGAUGAUCUUGAGUAUGAUUGAGGUGGGCGGAAUGUGUCAUGUAGCGGUGAAAUGCUUAGAUAUGACACAGAACACCGAUUGCGAAGGCAGCUCACUAAGUCAUAACUGACGCUGAUGCACGAAAGCGUGGGGAGCAAACAGGAUUAGAAACCCUGGUAGUCC
This 445-nucleotide ribosomal RNA is filed under the name uncultured bacterium. Its description in RNAcentral is "bacterial SSU rRNA". It matches the Rfam family "Bacterial small subunit ribosomal RNA", at positions 354 to 796 of the family's 1533-position model. The record is from RNAcentral.